CGGGCGAGAGACCGAUAGCAAACAAGUACCGCGAGGGAAAGAUGAAAAGGACUUUGAAAAGAGAGUCAAAGAGUGCUUGAAAUUGUCGGGAGGGAAGCGAAUGGGGGCCGGCGAUGCGCCCCGGUCGGAUGUGGAACGGCGGAAGCCGGUCCGCCGAUCGGCUCGGGGCGUGGAUCGGUGCGGAUUGGGACGGAGGCCAAAGCCCAGGAAGUCGUSAAGCCUGCGGAGACGCUUCGCCCCGAUCGUGGCUGGCAGCGCGCGCCUCCUCGGCGUGCUCCGGCAUCUGCGCGCUCCCGG
This 297-nucleotide ribosomal RNA is filed under the name Arbutus peninsularis. RNAcentral's name for it is "partial 28S ribosomal RNA". It matches the Rfam family "Eukaryotic large subunit ribosomal RNA", at positions 323 to 622 of the family's 3401-position model. The record is from RNAcentral. Lineage: Eukaryota; Viridiplantae; Streptophyta; Magnoliopsida; Ericales; Ericaceae.